Molecule: long non-coding RNA, 5073 nt
Filed under: Sus scrofa (pig)
Lineage: Eukaryota; Metazoa; Chordata; Mammalia; Artiodactyla; Suidae
Description: lncRNA (ENSSSCG00060063186.1)
Source: RNAcentral
GCGGCGAUGGUGACCGGCUGCGCUGGACCAGUCACCCCCCGCCUCCCAGGACCCCCCUCAGGCCAGAGGCCCCCAGCUCACAAGCCGGCCCUGAAUCAUCCCCGUUCCUGGGCCCGUCUCCACGUUCUUUCUCUGGGAAAGCAGGGCCCAGGCUUCUGCUCCCUCUUCAAUACAGCACACAUGAACACUUUGGGAGUGUCACCUUAAAAAUAAAAAACACAACGUGAGAGUUGAGAGUUAAGUUUUACUUGGGACAGAAUGAGGACUAGAACCUGGGUGGCAGCAUUCAGAGAGACCCAAGAAACUACUCCAAAAAACUGGGACCUCAGUGAGUCCGGACACCAGGCCAAGUGUGGAAAAGAAAGGAAGAAGGAAGAGAGGAGGCAUCCGUUGAUGAACCUCAGAUGCCAAGAUAAAGGAGACUUGCUUUUCGACGAGAUGACACUGGCCCUGCUGGUCGGGCUCCCGGGGAGAGGAGGUCUGAACUGCUCGGCUGCUGUCUACUGGCUGAUAAUGGGAUGAAAACAACACACAUCAAACAGUGAGCGGGGCUGUUAACAAGGUAGCCCUUCCUGGGAUCCUGGCGCCUUCAUCCAGUCAGGCCGGUGCCUUGAGCACCCACCCAAAAGUGGCGAGGGGAGUUCCUUGGGACCCUUCAAGUCCUAGCGUGUGGGUGAGAGCCCCCGGCUCCGGGAACGGCAAGCGGCAGGUAAGUCUUCCUGGAAGGCGCCGUCCCCCUCUCCGGGCUGGCUCUGCAGCCUUUCCCUCGGAGUCGCAGUCUAGGAAGCAGGCUCCUCGCUAAGUAUUUGGCAUUUGAUCCUCAGAACGGUCAUCUUGCCGGAACUCGGCCUCUGUUCGCUGGUGCUCAAUAGAAACGCGGAGACGGAGCUUUGGAUGAAGUAGAGAAGGCAGGCCUGAUUGCUUUGCCAGGAAGGGGGGGCCACAGCGGGCCAGGGCCCUCGGAACUUUUGGGGGGGCGGUGAGGAGUCUCACAGUGUCAAGGAGCAGGGCGUGGCCAGCUCGUGGGCGUUCUUCUGAUGGGUGGGUGGUGAGGUCACGGGGAGUCCGCGCCGUCACCCCUCUGGUUCCAGUUGGUCUGGGGUCUCCGUGCUUGUGGGCAGCACAUGGUUGGCUUCCUCCCCUUGGCGGGGGUAAACUGCUCCGAGGACAUGGCUCAGAAUAGUAUCUCUGGUCUUUGAGAAAGAAUGUAAGGUCCUUGACUUUGUUGAGUGGCUAAAGUAUUAUUUUGUCUUGCUGGACUGCUUUUCCUUUCGCUUUGCAUUUUCUCACGUCUCUGAUUAAGUUUGAUUUUUUGGACUAAAGUUUUUCUACAGACCAAAGGCAGGCAGAGGACCUGGGGGCGGGGGCGGGAUCUGUUCUGGGAAGGCCCCAUAGCGUCUGGCUCGGUUACCCUAAAGAGAGGUAUUUUUUCCCCAUUUGACAGUUGGGAGAAGGGAACCCCAACAGCAAAAAAGUCUCAGGAGGACUCAGGCCUCCUGAAACAGCAUGGCCCCUGCUGCCCCUGUGGCUUUUCUGAAGAUGCAGCCCAGUUGAGUCUGAUUUGCUGAUUAUUGCAGACCUCUGGGCAUGAAGCUCUGAAAUCGAGAAGCGGGUGUGGCUGGUGAUGAAGGUAAACCGCACAGUCAGCUCAGCUCAUGGAGAGUCCAGCGUCUGUUGUUGUUGCUUUCAUCCUCCGGGGAAGCCAGUUUUUAGUGCUCAAAGUUUAGUAAAACAAUUUCCUACACUCGUUUAAUCAUUUCCACUUUACAAACAAACUGAGGUUUCAGCAUACCAGGGGACUUGUCCUGGCUGAUUCUGCAGGUUACGGGGAGCCAGGACUUCUGACCCAAGUCUGGAGGGAUGCUUCUCUGGCUUGGAGGAUCAAUGAAAAAUCAAAUCUGAGUUGUUCCACUGAGGUGAUGGAGUGUGCGAUUACUACAGCCUCUUAGAUAUUUAAAAUCGUAUGUUGCAAAAGACCAGUCCUACCCAUUUGCUGGGUGAGCGGGUGUUGGUACCACAAGCCAUCCUCAUACUUAAGCACAGUGGAUUGGAACGUACGGCAAAUAAACAGCGUUUUUUCCUGGCUCAGUGAGGGUAACGGCUGCUUUUGAAGAAUUAUUGCAGGUGUUUCUAGGCGAUGAAUAAAGUUACUGAGGUCGUGCAGGUGGAGCAUCUAGGCAUGGAAUUUAGAAAUUUCAAGAACUCGAAAAUUUUCCUUCCACCCCCUCCAGCUUGCACAGUGAACGUGAUUAAGCGCUUCACGGGGUGGGACCCUGCGGAGGCCACCGAGGUGGGCGACUCGGCUCCCCUCCCAGACCCCAUGUGGUCGGGAAACUGCACUGAAGGGCUCUGGCCGCACUGCAGAGGGUCUCACGGUGUCCAGCGGGCCAGCUCCCAGGGGACCUAACGGAAAGAAGAAUGGACGGAUGAAAAUCCGAAAGUCCCCAGGCCGUCCUCUCCCCACAGCCCGUCUGGAGGCACCCCAGAGGCCGACUGACUCUUUGCCUCUAAAUAUUUCAUCUGUGUGGCAACGGGACAGACUCAGGUGAGAAAACUGGAGUCAGUGUCACAGGGCCAACUUGGGCAGCCCUUUGGCGAGGCCACCUGCUUGAGCAGCUGGACGAUGGUAGUUAGGGAGGUCAGACGCCUCAUCUAAGCCCUGGCUUGGCCGCUUAUGGUCUGCCCUCCGUUGUGUUGCUUUAUCAACCUGGACCUCAGUUUGCUCAUCUUUAAAAUGGGGAUACAGGAGUCCCUGGUGGCUUAGUGGUGCAUGGCUUGACUUUUGUCACUGCUGUGGCUCUGGUUGCAUCCCUGGCUGUGGAGUUUCUGCAUGCCACAGGAACUGAAAAUCAAAUAGCGAGCCAAGUGUGGCAGAAUUCCACUUUCCUUGUCCACAUGAUGCAUAGAUAAUAGUUGUCUUACUUUCUAUCAUAGGAUGAUGCUGAGGGGCCAGGAAAAAAAAAAAAAAAAAGAUAACUGUGAUUUAAAGAAAAAGAGGAUUCCUUUAAAAUAAUAAAGAAAUAUUUGUCGUGAUCACGUUUCUCAGUAUCCUCUCGAUCGCCCUGGACUUUAUAGACUUCCCGAGGAGGAGACUGCAGGAGGAAGCUGGAUCAGACGUCACUGGACCCUUGUCCCGUGACCUGUCACCCUCCCAGCCACCCUCAGCCUGUGAACCAAGGUGAACUAUGACCUCGGCAUGUACACAGCCAGGUGUCAAGGCUGAGAGCCGCCAGUGUAUGUGGACAGGGAGAUGAGCUCAUUACAACAGAAGAGGUCCUACUAUUUAGCCCUCAUUCCUAUACUGGAGACUUGAGCUGCCAUUUAUCCUUCAGGGAUACAGGACACUCGGCGUUAUACGCCCACGAGAGCCUUGGGGAAGUGUUGACUCAAUCGCCUCUCUGAGUAAUGAGCUCCCUGCCUUUGCCUGAAGGGUCCCCAUUGGUGCAGGCUGCCUGUUGUCCCUGGCAGACAGGACGAGGUGGGCCAAGCAAGCCAAUUAAUAUUCCGCCAAAUCCUUGUUCGGUGUGGUGUGUUUAUCAUAUUGGUCUACCCUUCCGAAGCCAAGAGCAAAUUAAGUGAGCACUGGCUCAUGUUACCUUGAAAAUGCCGUACAGAUAAAAAUCCAGUUGUUACCUUCUGAGUAGUUGGAAGAUUAAUUGGAAAUGCUAUCCAUUCGGCGUUCAGUUUCCUGUGUCCAACUGAUGUUUGCGGGAAAUUGCAGCCUCUGUCCAGCGUGGCAGUGUUUAUCGGGUGUCUCCGUUUUCGAAAACGACCUCAUUAACAAUUUUGCUGGUGCUUUUUUCUCCUUCUAAAAAUAGUGUCGACAAAUUGGCACCAACUCCUGAAUAUCUGCUUCCAUCCUGUUUCAGCAGCCAACUCAUGGAUUGCCAGUUUAUGACGUGCCCAUCUCAACAUAAAAACGCCUCUUCUGCCAGAUGCAAGAGGGAUCAACCUACAGCUCGAAGCAGGACAAGAGUUCUUGAGGUGCUGAGCCCUGUAAAAGUGCAAGCCCAUGUUCUAGGCAGAAAAACUGAGAGUUUUGCGUAGUUUGGUUUUUGUUUUUUUACCUUCCCUCCGCCAUAUUUUCUUUCAAGGACUUUGUUUUUGUUUUGGCCACACCCGGGGUGUGUGGAAAUUCCCCGGGCCAGGUAUCAAACACACACCCCAGCAGUGACAACACCAGAUCCUUAACCCACUGAGCCACGGGGGGAAUCCUUCUUUCAAGGACUUGGAAAAUUGGCUGUCUUCAUGUUCAACGCUGGAGCCACCGGAGACUUGGGUCCCAGAGAAGUCAGGGCAGGAGGUAGCUUCCGGCUCCACCGUCCACAGCAUCCCAGUGACGAGGAGGAGGGCAUGGGGGCAAAGGAGGCUUUCACAUCCCGCUGGGACGGGCCCGGCGCCCAGCCCGGUGCCCCCAUCGGCCGGCUCUGCUCUCAAGGCACAGAAUGCACCUGCCCCUUCUGCAGAGACCAUGGCCAGGGAACUGAAGACACCAUUGGGAGAAGCCCACGCUCUUCGGCUCCCCAUUUAUUGAAGAAGUUUGUCAGUGAGGGAUACUUGGCCCAUUGUCCCAUUUCUGCUGCCAUUCCUGUUUUUGUGUUUCUUUCGCACUUGCUGGAAGUUGCCCAGCCCUGGCACCCACGGCUGCAGGCUGCUCUUUGUGGGUCUCCAUGCUGCUCCCUUGCACCCUCGCAUGUGCAUACUCACACCCUCCCACAUCUGCACACACACCCCUGCUCUCUCUGGCUAAUUGCUUCUUCUCUCUCAAAGUCACAACUCAGGGUGAAGGACUGACUCAGCCACCCGUCUACACUGAAGGCUGUUCCCGUACUUAGAGGAUAUUUCUUAGCUAAAGCGAUGGAUACAGAUGGGCAAAGCUGCAGGCAGGACCCCAUGGCCUGAGAAGUCACAGGGCCCCGGGAGAGAAGGCGCACAGGUGGGUGGGCGUGGUGCCGUGGCUUUCAAGGAUUUUGGUUGAUCUGGGAUAACCAGGCAUGGACAUCACUGCAAAGCCAGUCCAGCAGAGAGAUCGGAGGGCCACUUAGAGACCCAGACUGGUUCCACCACUGAGUU